GUGUGCAGCUACCUGGGAGUAGAGAGCUCUUGCAAGUAAACCUGUAGAGUAAGGACUCAGAGUGGAACUGCUGUCUAUUCACUGGUUCAUCUGAGGACUAAGGCUUAAUGGAAAGUUCUGCUUUUUCUCAUAUCUUACAUGAAGUAUGACCCAGUCCCCUUCCUGCAGCAGGACACUCCCAUGAGAAAAUACAGUACCGCUUCCCACAGCCAUCUGAGUUCUAAAUCGACAGUGCCUCCUUCCACUGAAAGUCAAGUUU
Long non-coding RNA from Lagopus leucura (white-tailed ptarmigan), 259 nucleotides. RefSeq lists it as uncharacterized. The transcript has 3 exons. Lineage: Eukaryota; Metazoa; Chordata; Aves; Galliformes; Phasianidae. The record is from RefSeq and is a predicted model, not a curated record.